Photinus pyralis (common eastern firefly) is the source of this 151-nucleotide long non-coding RNA. RefSeq lists it as uncharacterized. Lineage: Eukaryota; Metazoa; Arthropoda; Insecta; Coleoptera; Lampyridae. The transcript has 2 exons. The record is from RefSeq and is a predicted model, not a curated record.
CCGGUAUAAAAGUCGGACACCGUUCAGUAAAUCUCUGUAGAGUGUAGUACUCGACAGAUUUUGAAUAGAUCUAAUCAACAUGUUCGGCAAGGGGCUUGUUUUACUUGCGGCCCUCGCAUUGACGUUCGCCAUUCCCCGCCCCGGUCCUGAA